This 1590-nucleotide long non-coding RNA is filed under the name Gossypium barbadense (sea-island cotton). RNAcentral describes it as "long non-coding RNA (GBAR_LNC012945)". Lineage: Eukaryota; Viridiplantae; Streptophyta; Magnoliopsida; Malvales; Malvaceae. The record is from RNAcentral.
GAGUCUUAAAAGAAUAAGCCAUACAAAUACAAACUUAAUUAAAAUCAAACUAAAAUAAAAGGGAAAUUUAUAAAUGAAACAAGUCACUUAAAAAUAAAAGGCCCAAUAGGUAAAGCAUGCAAAUGCGCAGCGGCUCAAACUGGAAAUAAUCCAGGCCUCAAAACGCUACGUUUAAGCGCGGAUCAAAUUGCAACAAAGCACAAAUUACAAGUCCAAAUAAAAAAAAGAAGCAAGGCGCAUAAGGCGAAAUCGAAGGCUCGCGCGAAUAUGGAGGACCUAGCGCGCAAAUUCUCCUUUUUAAGCAAAUGGGCGUGUAUCUGGCCUACUAAACGGGUCAAUGCGCGGAUCCUUACCAUUGAAUGGCGCCGUUUCAAUUUUGAUUCAAAAUUAAAAGAAACAGAAUGGAAAUAAGCCAUUUUACAAGCCACAAACCGAACAACCAUCUGCUAGGGUUUUGGUGCCGCAGCUUUGAGGUUUUUUCAGCCCCUUUCGUCCUUUCAACUACCACCGUCCCACCAUUGAAUUCAAUGGGAGGUAGCUUGUCAUGGAAGCGUUCCAUUUUCUUACUCCAAACCUCGCCUCAAAAGCUCAGAUUUUUUAGCCCCGAGAACCUAUCUCAAACUUCGAUUUCAACAAAGAAAAGAUGGUCUCUGAUGGCUUGUACGCGAAGGUAAGCCCUUCCCUCUCCUUUUUCUUAUGCAAAUAAACUGUGCGAAAAUGUAGAAAAGAGAAUAAACGAAACAGAUUCAAGAGGAAAGCAGACGAAGCACUCGGGAUCACCUUUUUCAAUUGCUUUUUGAACUUUUUUCUUUAAUAUUUAUUUUUGUGUCUGUGAUAUGCGUGUUUUUUUUUUGUAACCCUUACAAAGAUUAAAAAUCUUGGCUUUAUAGCUGAGAAGCAAGAAAAUCAAAAAAAUAAAAAUACAAUUCUUUCGUUAUUUCCUAUUUGCUGCUACUCUAUUUGUCCUUUUUGCAGGUACGGGGUGUGCUGGCGCUCAGGUACGGGAGCUGUGCUAGAGUACGGAGGCGUGGGCGUGGCGUGGCUGCUGAGCUGGAGCUGAGGCAUUGUCCGGUUCUUGGCUGUGGCGCAAAAUGAAGGGGGUGACCUAGGGUUUCUGAAACUGUUAAGGAGAUGGGCCUAUUGGGCUUGUUUUGAUUUGGGCUUGUAAUGGGUAUCGGGUCUGGGUUUAUUUGGGCCAUUUGGGUUAAUUUGGUCAUGUAACAGGGACAUUUUAAUGGACUGUUAUAAAACUGAACUAUUAUAAUAUUUAUUGGGUUUUUAUUUUUUGUUUUUGGUUUGGUGUUUGCGCUGGCCCGGGCCAAAAUUGGUCAUUACAUGUUGGGUUUCAGUUUUUCGUUGGACCAAAUAAUUGAAUAUCCUUUUGUAAUUUUCAAAUGUAUGAGCUUUUGGAAAUCAAGAAUCAAUCGUGGUUUUGAGGGUUUAAAAUGUCAUGUUCUAGCGUGCUGGAUGUGAUAUUUUUUUCCUUCGUAAUAAGAGAAUUUUAACAUCUAAUUCGAGUUGUUCAAAUGUUUUAAAAGAAAUCGUAUUUCAAAAUCUUUUUAAAUUUUAGACAUAAUGAUAUUAAUUAAC